RNAcentral lists this ribosomal RNA (258 nucleotides) under uncultured Leptotrichia sp. Its description in RNAcentral is "partial 16S ribosomal RNA". It matches the Rfam family "Bacterial small subunit ribosomal RNA", at positions 97 to 356 of the family's 1533-position model. The record is from RNAcentral. Lineage: Bacteria; Fusobacteriati; Fusobacteriota; Fusobacteriia; Fusobacteriales; Leptotrichiaceae.
GGCGGACGGGUGAGUAACGCGUAAAGAACUUGCCCUUUAGACUGGGAUAACAGAGGGAAACUUCUGAUAAUACUGGAUAAGUUAGUAUAUCGCAUGAUAUACAAAUGAAAGCUACGGCACUAAAGGAGAGCUUUGCGUCCUAUUAGCUAGUUGGUAAGGUAAGAGCUUACCAAGGCGAUGAUAGGUAGCCGGCCUGAGAGGGUGGACGGCCACAAGGGGACUGAGAUACGGCCCUUACUCCUACGGGAGGCAGCAGUG